GAAAUGCGAUAAUUAAUGUGAAUUGCAGAAUUCAGUGAAUCAUCGAGUCUUUGAACGCACAUUGCGCCCCCUGGUAUUCCGGGGGGCAUGCCUGUCCGAGCGUCAUUGCUGCCCUCAAGCACUGCUUGUGUGUUGGGCUUCCGUCCCUGGCAACGGGGACGGGCCCAAAAGGCAGUGGCGGCACCAUGUCUGGUCCUCGAGCGUAUGGGGCUUUGUCACCCGCUCCCGUAGGUCCAGCUGGCAGCUAGCCUCGCAACCAAUCUUUUUAACCAGGUUGACCUCGGAUCAGGUAGGGAUACCCGCUGAACUUAAUC
Molecule: unclassified non-coding RNA, 314 nt
Filed under: plant metagenome
Description: partial contains 5.8S ribosomal RNA, internal transcribed spacer 2, and large subunit ribosomal RNA
Rfam family: 5.8S ribosomal RNA (bases 1-105)
Source: RNAcentral